GUAUAUACAACUAUGUACCGGGGGGCUUUGGGGAGAAAAAGGAAAAAAUAAAAUCUUUAAAAAAAAUUAAAAAAAAAUAAAAAGAUAAAACACAGGAAAUCCCAUGGUUCCAAUAUAUGGCUUAACUAAUUAGUACAAGGUAAACGCCACUGAGACCCAGAAAAAGCGCUUUGCCAGCGACCUCACACGCCCGUGCACGUGCCCUCCCCCGCUCCCUCCCUCCCUCCUUCCUCCAGAAGCAGUAACGUUCGCCCGACUCUUAUGGGGCGCAAUGACUUCAUUUUAACGGCACUCUGCUGGCGGAGGGUGGGGGCGGGGGUUCUCAGGAAAGCGUCUCUGGCCACGGUCCGGGCCCAGUUCCCUCCGCGGACCCCUCUCCCCCCGCAGCUUGCGCAAGACCCCCCCGGGUCCCGGACCCCUGGGUGGGGGGCUCCGCCGCCCUCAUCCGCUUUCGAAAUGCAACUUUAUGCAACCGUCGCGGACAGAGCUCCAGGUUUCCCAAGAAGGAGAAGCGAAAGAGGAUCAGAAACCGCGUGCCGAAAUGUUACUGAUUGAUUUCAAGAUCACCCCCCACCCCCGGUCCGUCCUUUGGGGCCACCUCCUCCAAGAAGCCGCCUCUCUCUCUCAGCUCGCUGUCAGGAAUUCUGUCUCCGAGGCUCCUCCUGCCAGAGCCCGCAUCAGCCUGGCCGAGCACCGCUGCCUGGGAAACCCUGGGAAGGUGCUCGCUUUCCCUGCGCCUCAGCCUCCGGGCCUGUGCGCGCCUGGCCCUCGUCACCUUCCACCCGAGAGGGGAAGGAGCCGGGAGGCCUGAGUUCCACCCCUCCCCGCACCUCUCCGCCCUCAGGCCCUGCUGCCACCCUGCGGAUUCUCAGGACAAGUCCCCCCCAUCGGAUCUCCCCCUCCUUCGCUCCACAGUGACGGCGUGGGAGACGCUCAGGAGUUUUAUACUCAUGACAUAAAUAAUAAUAAUGAGCCCACAUUUGAAGGAGGCUGCUCUGCUCCCUAGCCCCAGCCUCCCCUCUGCCCCGUGCCCCCUGUCCUGCCUCCCUGUCCUCCCCCCGCCCUGCAGGCCUCCUACUGGACAACCUCUCCAGCACAUCCAGCGGGGGUGGGCGACUGAGGAGGAUGUCCACAUCAGUGAGGAAGUCCAUCCCUUAGCCAGAGCUCCAAACUGGUGACAUUGAGUCUGUCCCCUGAAGGAUGUGCUUGACCUGCACAGUCUUGAAGGAAUUAUGUUUAGUUUUUAAAAAUAAUUUCAGUUAGUUGCCAACAUUUAAGGUCAAGAGAUUGCCCAUAGAAUUUGGGCCAUGUUCCUGGGGGGUCACAGUCCUCGCUGGGCCUUUGAUGCGUCCAUACCUGGCCCCACAGGAGUCCCUAUGGGCCUUUGAAACUAAGCUAAAGAAAUCCAAAGGAGUGGAACUGGGAGCACAGGUGAGCACAGUAGAGGAGAUAUUUUGGAGUCAGGGACCCUGAGAUCCUACAGACGAGAAGUUCUACCAGGCAAAACGCUGGCCUUGACCCGGGAAACGUCACAUUGGACUCCUGGCCUCGGGCUCUCCAUCUGAACAAUGGUUGAGCAGACUGGUAUAAGGAUCCCUGUGGCCCCAGAACUUCAGGCGUUUUAGGGCCUGUGUGCUUCAUGUGUGAUGGUUUCUGGUUUUGUCCUUAUGUGUGGGUGCAUUCCUCAGGCCGCGUUCUUGGCCCAUUGGCCCAGAGUCCCUGGGGCCCAGCCCUGCCCUGAAGCCUGUCUGCCUCCCUUUAGCCUCUUCCCCGCCUCCUGACACCAUCCCUGCCUCUGUAACCCAGUCUUCCCUCCCCCAGGAGCUCUUCCUCUGGCCCUGGCACUGCCUGCCCCUGAACCACCGCUCUCCCACCCCCAGGGAGCCCACUUCCUUCAGGUGCUCGUGGACGGGGCGCCUUCCCCACGGGAGGAGCUUUUCUCGCUGCUCCUCGUUCUUCACGCUGGCCAGGAGCCAGGUGUGGGAACACUGGGCUGUGUCCUGGCCUCCCACAGCCCCUCAAUCUUGUAUGGCCUUGUUCUCUGGGCUGUCCCUGCCACUUCUCGCAGCCCUUCUGCCUCUGGUCCCUCCCCAAAGAAACUUCCCUCCAGUUCCAUUGAGAUCACCCACACCUUCUAGCCUACUCCAUUCAGUGGCCUCAUCCAUCACUCCCCAAAUAUUAUUAACUACAGUCACUGUCCUGCGUUAGGCCUGUGAGGAUUCAAGAGAGAACUAGAGCUGUCGUUUCCUCUGUGAGCUCACAGCUCUAUGGAGGAGAGAGAAAGUCCCGUGGAUAGGGGUAGAGAAAGACAAAGGCUCCAAUGGGUGAGUACAGGGCUGCUGUGGCACUUGACUCAGACUUAGGGGGUCAGGGAGGGCCUCCUGGAGGAGGCAGUUUCUAAAGUGACGUCUGGAAGGUGAGUUACCAGACAAACACAGCAGGCGGGGAGGAGUUUUCAUGCUGAGAGAAUAGCAUAUGCAAAGGCCCUGGAGAGAGCGGGAACACAGUGCAUUGAGAGCCCUAGAGAGAUGAGGCUGGACCCAGGGGCAGCCCAUGCUGAGGCCAGGAGAGGUUUCAGAGUUUGGAAAGGCUACGCCCCUGCUGUCACCCUGGCUGUCCAAGGCCUUUGAGGCCCUGACGUUCCACGGCUUCUUGAAGACAAGGUCAUGCAGAUGCUGUUCAGCAGAUGUGUCUGGUCUCCCCAGUAAGUGUCCAGUUCCAGGCCAGUCUCAGGGCCAGGGCUGUGGACACCACCAAAGACGGCCGGCCCAAAUCUCACAGGCUGCUCGCUGGGAGUCCCUCCCCUGGCCCCAGCCCUGCCUCAGUCGCCCACUGUGAUGGACUGAAUGUGUGUGUUCCCCCCGCAAAUUCCUGUUGAAAUCCUAAGCCCCAGUGAUGGCGUUAGGAGGUGGGGCCUUUGGGAGGGAAGUAGGUCAUGAGGGUGGAGCCCUCGUAAAAGGGACCCCAGAGAGCUCUCUCCCCCUCUCUCUGCCAUGUGAGGACAGCACGAGAAGCCAGCCGUCUGCGACUCAGAAGAGGGCUCUCGCCAGCGUGUGACCAUGCUGGCAUCCCGCUCUGGGACUUCCAGCCUCCAGGCUGUGGGAAAUUCCCGUGUUUACAAGCCACCUGGUCUGUAGGACUUGGUUAUAGCAGCCUGAAUGGACUGAGACACCCACGAAGGCAUCUCUGGGUGCGCAACAGUCCUCAGGGGCAUUGGCAUUGGAUCCGAGACGGGGGCUCCAACAGGGGAGCUGCCUGGUGGCAUUUGGGGUUCUCUGGGGUCACCUUUGGCUGCUGCAGUGAUGGGGGCCUUUGGGGCCGAGGCUGAUCCUGCAACACUCAGCAGAGCCCUGGGGACAGGAAAGUUGUCCCAUGUGUCCUCUCCUGAUUUUCACGUGUCCCUUCAGAUAUUCAUGUCAGUGAAAAAGCCAAACUCCAUUUCACACUUAAACACAGGAUAUUUUUGCAUGUUUUAAAACAUACUCAGAAUGCAAAUUAAUGGGAGGUGAUACUUAGUUUUGUGGGGAAUGCUGCCAAGAGUUUUAGCCUUUUCAAAAAAUCACCAUACUGACAGCAACACCUCUCCUGGGAUUCAAGGCCCCAAACAGAGUCCUGAGGCAUCUGCGUUGGUGGCAGGCCUGUGUGACACAGCGUGGUGUGAGCAUUGGCCACAUUGUCACCUGGUGUCUGCUCGUGGCAUUAUUGUUGGGCAUUUACCUGUUGAGAUGCACAUAAAUGUAUUAUGACUUUCCUUUAUAUAUUAGUUGGGGCAUUAUACUGUUUUUAAAAAAUUGUAUGCGUAGGUAAGCUUUAGUAGCUGUGCGAUGAUUUUAUGGUGACGUCCAUGACCUUAGAGACUGUGAGACCCCUCAGGACAGGAUGGCGUUGUCUCUCUCACUGUGAUGACCUUUCAUGGAGCAAAAGCCGCAGCAGGAGGCCAGGCCGUGGUGGCCCUAACCUGGGCUGGUCGUCACUGUGUCCCGCAUAGACACACACUUGCAGCAACAAAAUAGGCCAGUGUCACUUAAGAGGGUCUUUGAUGAGGCAGUAAAACUGACAAGUAUUGAAUCCCAGACCCCGAGUACACCAGUUUCAAUAUUCUGUGAUGAGGUCCGCCUUGGCCGGGCCCGGGAGACAGCUGUGGGAGGAAAAGCCUCCGUGAGCCUGUGAGAGUCGAGCUGAACCACCCCCUGUCCAGCGAACCCCGUUCUCACUGGAAAGGACGACCACAGACACCCUGGGGUGUUCAGACUUAGCCAUCUGGCAGACAGGUUUUCAAACAGGAGCAGUGUGAGAUUGUUGCUUCCAGGAAAAAUGGUUGACCACAUUAGUUGUCAAUGAUAAAUUUUGAGCUUUCAGCAGAAAUUAGAAUUUUGGAAAACAUGUAUCCACCGCUGUGAGCUUGACAGCUUCCCAAUAUUUAAAGACUUUUCUGAUGAGAUGAGUGAUCAUGUUAACGAUGUGAUUUUUUUUGACAUCGUUUCACGAUGUGUGCCAUCUUUUGGAAGAUUUGCACCAUUCAGCAAACCGAAAUUUUCCAAGUGACCAAUGCAUGAUCCACAACAUCAUACCUGCAUAAAAGAUCCAUUUAAAGUACAAGAUGGACCCUUGCGUGUUACAGUAGGAGAGUCAGAAAUGCUCGAUACGGUUUCAGAUUCCACACUGCAGCUCACCUUUAAGAACGACCCGACCGCGGGCUGGCCCCGUGGCCGAGUGGCUAAGUUCGCGCACUCCGUUGCUGGCGGCCCAGUGUUUCAUUGGUUCAAAUCCUGGGUGCGGACGUGGCACUACUCAUCAAGCCAGCUGAGGCAGCGUCCCACAUGCCACAACUAGAAGGACCCACAACGAAGAAUAUACAACUAUGUACUGGGGGACUUUGGGAAGAAAAAGGAAAAAAGAUCUUUAAAAAAAGAAAAAAAGAACGACGCAUGUUGAGUUGUGGUGCGGCAUCAACCAGGCGUCUGCACAGGCAUCUGAAAGCCUGUUCAAACACUCCUCUCUUCCAGCUGCACGUUUAUGCGGCCGGAUUUUCUUCAAUCAAAACAACGCACGUCAGCUGCCCGCGCACAGGCGGCCACAAGGGCCACAGCCUCCUGUCCCGAAGCCCGUGGAGGGGUUCACAGAAGUAGAGCGGUGCUUCUCUUUGCGCUGAAUUUUCUCUGAAGUUUUCAAAAUGUAAACAUUUUCAUUAAAAUAUUUUCAUUUUUCAUAAAAA
This is a long non-coding RNA of Equus caballus (horse), 5215 nucleotides long. RefSeq lists it as uncharacterized. Lineage: Eukaryota; Metazoa; Chordata; Mammalia; Perissodactyla; Equidae. The record is from RefSeq and is a predicted model, not a curated record.